Molecule: ribosomal RNA, 700 nt
Filed under: uncultured bacterium
Lineage: Bacteria
Description: bacterial SSU rRNA
Rfam family: Bacterial small subunit ribosomal RNA
Source: RNAcentral
UGCAAGUCGAGCGCGAAAGGCCUUCGGGCUGAGUAGAGCGGCGGACGGGUGAGUAACGCGUAGGAAUCUACCUGGUAGUGGGGGACAACAUGGUGAAAACCAUGCUAAUACCGCAUACGCCCUAUGGGGGAAAGCGGGGGACCUUCGGGCCUCGCGCUAUCAGAUGAGCCUGCGUAGGAUUAGCUUGUUGGUGAGGUAAAGGCUCACCAAGGCGACGAUCCUUAGCUGGUCUGAGAGGAUGAUCAGCCACACUGGAACUGAAACACGGUCCAGACUCCUACGGGAGGCAGCAGUGGGGAAUAUUGCGCAAUGGGCGAAAGCCUUACGCAGCCAUGCCGCGUGUGUGAAGAAGGCCUUCGGGUUGUAAAGCACUUUCAAUUGGGAAGAAAGGUUGCGUGUUAAUAGCACGUAGCGGUGACGGUACCUUUAGAAGAAGCACCGGCUAACUCCGUGCCAGCAGCCGCGGUAAUACGGAGGGUGCGAGCGUUAAUCGGAAUUACUGGGCGUAAAGCGCGCGUAGGCGGUUUGUUAAGUCGGAUGUGAAAUCCCCGGGCUCAACCUGGGAAUGGCAUUCGAUACUGGCCGACUAGAGUACGAGAGAGGGAGGUAGAAUUCCACGUGUAGCGGUGAAAUGCGUAGAUAUGUGGAGGAAUACCGGUGGCGAAGGCGGCCUCCUGGGCUCGAUACUGACGCUGAGGUG